GAUGAACGCUAGCGAUAGGCCUAACACAUGCAAGUCGAGGGGCAGCGGGGUAGCAAUACCGCCGGCGACCGGCGCACGGGUGAGUAACACGUAUGCAACCUACCCAUAACUGUGGGAUAGCCCGUCGAAAGACGGAUUAAUACCGCAUAACACAGGGGCUCCACAUGGAGAUAUUUGUUAAAGAUUUAUUGGUUAUGGAUGGGCAUGCGCAGGAUUAGGUAGUUGGUGAAGGUAACGGCUCACCAAGCCAUCGAUCCUUAGGGGAACUGAGAGGUUAAUCCCCCACACUGGUACUGAGACACGGACCAGACUCCUACGGGAGGCAGCAGUGAGGAAUAUUGGUCAAUGGACGAGAGUCUGAACCAGCCAAAUCGCGUGAAGGAAGACGGUAUUAUGUAUUGUAAACUUCUUUUAUCAGGGAAUAAAGUGCAUCACGCGUGGUGUUUUGUAUGUACCUGAUGAAUAAG
Molecule: ribosomal RNA, 467 nt
Filed under: uncultured Bacteroidales bacterium
Lineage: Bacteria; Pseudomonadati; Bacteroidota; Bacteroidia; Bacteroidales
Description: bacterial SSU rRNA
Rfam family: Bacterial small subunit ribosomal RNA
Source: RNAcentral